GGACGGGUGAGUAAUGCCUGGGAAAUUGCCCUGAUGUGGGGGAUAACCAUUGGAAACGAUGGCUAAUACCGCAUAAUAGCUUCGGCUCAAAGAGGGGGACCUUCGGGCCUCUCGCGUCAGGAUAUGCCCAGGUGGGAUUAGCUAGUUGGUGAGGUAAGGGCUCACCAAGGCGACGAUCCCUAGCUGGUCUGAGAGGAUGAUCAGCCACACUGGAACUGAGACACGGUCCAGACUCCUACGGGAGGCAGCAGUGGGGAAUAUUGCACAAUGGGCGCAAGCCUGAUGCAGCCAUGCCGCGUGUAUGAAGAAGGCCUUCGGGUUGUAAAGUACUUUCAGCAGUGAGGAAGGNGGAGUCGUUAAUAGCGGCCUCNUUUGACGUUAGCUGCNNAAGAAGCACCGGCUAACUCCGUGCCAGCAGCCGCGGUAAUACGGAGGGUGCGAGCGUUAAUCGGAAUUACUGGGCGUAAAGCGCAUGCAGGUGGUUUGNUAAGUCNGAUGUGAAAGCCCGGGGCUCAACCUCGGAAUUGCAUUUGAAAACUGGCANANUAGAGUACUG
This 556-nucleotide ribosomal RNA is filed under the name Vibrio sp. HR08-15. RNAcentral's name for it is "bacterial SSU rRNA". It matches the Rfam family "Bacterial small subunit ribosomal RNA", at positions 100 to 651 of the family's 1533-position model. The record is from RNAcentral. Lineage: Bacteria; Pseudomonadati; Pseudomonadota; Gammaproteobacteria; Vibrionales; Vibrionaceae.